CAGUCGCCACGGUAAUACAGAGGGUGCGAGCGUUAAUCGGAUUUACUGGGCGUAAAGCGCACGUAGGCGGACUUUUAAGUCAGGGGUGAAAUCCCGGGGCUCAACCCCGGAACUGCCUUUGAUACUGGAAGUCUUGAGUAUGGUAGAGGUGAGUGGAAUUCCGAGUGUAGAGGUGAAAUUCGUAGAUAUUCGGAGGAACACCAGUGGCGAAGGCGGCUCACUGGACCAUUACUGACGCUGAGGUGCGAAAGCGUGGGGAGCAAACAGGAUUAGAUACCCCUGUAGUCCCUGUCUCUUAUAC
This 301-nucleotide ribosomal RNA is filed under the name uncultured bacterium. RNAcentral describes it as "partial 16S ribosomal RNA". It matches the Rfam family "Bacterial small subunit ribosomal RNA", at positions 509 to 807 of the family's 1533-position model. The record is from RNAcentral.